GUAGGGAAUCUUCCACAAUGGACGCAAGUCUGAUGGAGCAACGCCGCGUGAGUGAAGAAGGUUUUCGGAUCGUAAAGCUCUGUUGUUGGUGAAGAAGGAUAGAGGCAGUAACUGGUCUUUAUUUGACGGUAAUCAACCAGAAAGUCACGGCUAACUACGUGCCAGCAGCCGCGGUAAUACGUAGGUGGCAAGCGUUGUCCGGAUUUAUUGGGCGUAAAGCGAGCGCAGGCGGAAUGAUAAGUCUGAUGUGAAAGCCCACGGCUCAACCGUGGAACUGCAUCGGAAACUGUCAUUCUUGAGUGCAGAAGAGGAGAGUGGAACUCCAUGUGUAGCGGUGGAAUGCGUAGAUAUAUGGAAGAACACCAGUGGCGAAGGCGGCUCUCUGGUCUGCAACUGACGCUGAGGCUCGAAAGCAUGGGUAGCGAACAGGAUUAGAUACCCUUGUAGUCC
Molecule: ribosomal RNA, 450 nt
Filed under: uncultured bacterium
Lineage: Bacteria
Description: partial 16S ribosomal RNA
Rfam family: Bacterial small subunit ribosomal RNA
Source: RNAcentral